AUUGAACGCUGGCGGCAUGCCUUACACAUGCAAGUCGAACGGUAACAGGCUAAGCUGACGAGUGGCGAACGGGUGAGUAAUAUAUCGGAACGUGCCCAGUCGUGGGGGAUAACGUAGCGAAAGCUACGCUAAUACCGCAUACAAUCUACGGAUGAAAGCGGGGGAUCGCAAGACCUCGCGCGAUUGGAGCGGCCGAUAUCAGAUUAGGUUGUUGGUGAGGUAAAAGCUCACCAAGCCUGCGAUCUGUAGCUGGUCUGAGAGGACGACCAGCCACACUGGAACUGAGACACGGGCCAGACUCCUACGGGAGGCAGCAGUGGGGAAUUUUGGACAAUGGGCGAAAGCCUGAUCCAGCAAUGCCGCGUGUGUGAAGAAGGCCUUCGGGUUGUAAAGCACUUUUGUCCGGAAAGAAAUGGCUCUGGUUAAUACCUGGGGUCGAUGACGGUACCGGAAGAAUAAGGACCGGCUAACUACGUGCCAGCCGCCGCAGUAA
This 493-nucleotide ribosomal RNA is filed under the name uncultured bacterium. RNAcentral describes it as "partial 16S ribosomal RNA". It matches the Rfam family "Bacterial small subunit ribosomal RNA", at positions 30 to 523 of the family's 1533-position model. The record is from RNAcentral.